RNAcentral lists this microRNA (22 nucleotides) under Gallus gallus (chicken). RNAcentral describes it as "microRNA Ros-gga". Lineage: Eukaryota; Metazoa; Chordata; Aves; Galliformes; Phasianidae. The record is from RNAcentral.
CGCGCCAGGGAGAGCCCGGGAU